RNAcentral lists this transfer RNA (68 nucleotides) under Marmota monax (woodchuck). Its description in RNAcentral is "tRNA.Ala". The stretch from base 6 to 63 matches the Rfam family "tRNA", at positions 8 to 63 of the family's 71-position model. Rfam says of the family: Transfer RNA (tRNA) molecules are approximately 80 nucleotides in length. The record is from RNAcentral. Lineage: Eukaryota; Metazoa; Chordata; Mammalia; Rodentia; Sciuridae.
GGUUAUAGCUCAGUUGGUAGAGCGCUUACCUAGCAUGUGUGAGGCACUGGGUUCAAUUCUCAGCAUCA